Micropterus salmoides (largemouth bass) is the source of this 859-nucleotide long non-coding RNA. RefSeq lists it as uncharacterized. NCBI's taxonomy places the organism in Eukaryota, Metazoa, Chordata, Actinopteri, Centrarchiformes, Centrarchidae. The transcript is spliced from 3 exons. The record is from RefSeq and is a predicted model, not a curated record.
GGUAAAGCAGCCUUUAAAGCAGCCGGUAAAGCAGCCGGUAAAGCAGCCUUUAAAGCAGCCGGUAAAGCAGCCUUUAAAGCAGCCGGUAAAGCAGCCGGUAAAGCAGCCUUUAAAGCAGCAAGAGAAGCCAUGAUAACACAGGUGGAAAGCAUCGAAAUGGAUGAGGGGGACAAACUUCUGUCGAAGGAGGAGCCAGGUCCAUCAAGCGACCCAUAAAUGCUGGCAGACUUUGAUGGUUUACACAACAAAGUGUUGAGAAAUUCUGCUGAGCUUUAAUCUGUAACUGAACUGUUUAUCAGGGACGCAGCUGCAGCUUCUUUGCUUUUCUGAUUCAUACUGACCUUUUUAAUAUUAUAGUUUUAUAUUUCUGUGUUCAGCCUUCAGAGUUCUGUUGAAGUUAAUCUGAUGCUGUAAAUAAAUGUUGACAUUAGGAGGAUGGUGGGGAGGCCAAGAAUGAGUUCUCCUGAUGCUCCUUAAACUAAACUACCCUGAAAGGACCAGGUCUGAAGGACGGAGAGAUUCAGAGACUGAAAAGAUGGAACUCUGCUCUGAGCACUGAGGAGAGCUUCCUGUUGCAGAAACUCCUGUCUGUGAAACCAGCUGUUUAAUGUUGACCUGAAGAAAAAAAGAGAACUUCACCUUCCUGUUUGCUCUGUUGUGUUUGACUUUGUAUCAACCUGUUAAUCAGUUUUACUAUGUUUAUUAUUAUAGAUGUAGUUAAGUUUGCUGGUCAUUAACCAGGUUCAGCUGUCUGGACGUAGGAACAGUAAGAUAAGAAUAAGUUUUACUUUGUAGGAGCUUCUGCUUUGUGCUUUUACUUAAUAAAACCAAAUAGAUGGUUUUGAUCUAUUGAAAGACA